AACCGGGGCUAAUACCGGAUAAUACAUGAAACCGCAUGGUUUCAUGAUGAAAGACGGUUUUGCUGUCACUUAUAGAUGGACCCGCGGCGUAUUAGCUAGUUGGUAAGGUAACGGCUUACCAAGGCAACGAUACGUAGCCGACCUGAGAGGGUGAUCGGCCACACUGGAACUGAGACACGGUCCAG
RNAcentral lists this ribosomal RNA (185 nucleotides) under uncultured Staphylococcus sp. Its description in RNAcentral is "partial 16S ribosomal RNA". It matches the Rfam family "Bacterial small subunit ribosomal RNA", at positions 155 to 334 of the family's 1533-position model. The record is from RNAcentral. Lineage: Bacteria; Bacillati; Bacillota; Bacilli; Caryophanales; Staphylococcaceae.